CCAGUCUUCCAGGCGUACCUUGUGUAGGGCACAUUGCCGCUCAAAAUCAGCCAGGUACCCAUCAAUCUCUCCUUCUGUCUCACUAAAGGAUUUAAAUGCUGCAAACUGUACCUUCUUUCUUUCCACCGGGACUGCUGGAACUGGGACUGCUGCACCACCUCUUUGGCGUAGCAGGUUGGCCUCCACAGCGUCCAUGACCCGGCUGAUGAUCUCUGCAGAUGAGUUGGGACCAUAAUGGGCCAGCCUGAUUCUUACCGCCCGGUC
Non-coding RNA from Pelobates cultripes (western spadefoot toad), 264 nucleotides. The record is from the annotation of a GenBank genome assembly. Lineage: Eukaryota; Metazoa; Chordata; Amphibia; Anura; Pelobatidae.